CCUACGGGCGGCAGCAGUGGGGAAUCUUGCGCCAAUGCGCGAAAGCGUGACGCAGCGACGCCGCGUGGGGGAUGAAGGCCUUCGGGUUGUAAACCCCUUUCGGCAGGGACGAAGCGAAAGUGACGGUACCUGCAGAAGAAGCUCCGGCUAACUACGUGCCAGCAGCCGCGGUAACACGUAGGGAGCGAGCGUUGUCCGGAUUCAUUGGGCGUAAAGCUCGCGUAGGCGGUCGUGCAAGUCGGUCGUGAAAUCCCGGGCCUCAACCCCGCGAACCGCGUCCGAUACUGCACGACUGGAGGCAGGUAGGGGAGAGCGGAAUUCCUGGUGUAGCGGUGAAAUGCGCAGAUAUCAGGAGGAACACCGGUGGCGAGGGCGGAUCUCUGGACCGAUACUGACGCUGAGACGCGAAAGCGUGGGGAGCAAACAGGAUUAGAUCCCCCUGUAGU
Molecule: ribosomal RNA, 446 nt
Filed under: uncultured Actinomycetes bacterium
Lineage: Bacteria; Bacillati; Actinomycetota; Actinomycetes
Description: uncultured actinobacterium partial 16S ribosomal RNA
Rfam family: Bacterial small subunit ribosomal RNA
Source: RNAcentral